This is a long non-coding RNA of Rhipicephalus microplus (southern cattle tick), 427 nucleotides long. The record is from RefSeq and is a predicted model, not a curated record. Lineage: Eukaryota; Metazoa; Arthropoda; Arachnida; Ixodida; Ixodidae.
GUAACCUGCGCUCAACCCUGACGCAUCUUUCUACAGCUGAAAACAUGGAACAACAACUUGGAAUGAAUCUACUGGUGAUUGUUGCUACUGCAAUAGCUGUAAUCUUAAUAGCUCCAAGUGGAGCUUUCGCGCUCGGAGGAUACGUUGGCGGAAACGAAGCCAUCGAAUUUGGUCGCGAAGAAUGAUUCAACAUUCGUCUUGUGGGAACCACGUGCACAGGCCUUCCAGAGGGGGCGCAAGGUGACGCAGAGUGGUGGUGCACGUGGUCCACUUGCGCUCGUCAAAAGGGCCAGCCUGCGUCAUGCUCUAACAACAGAUGUCUUGGCUGUCAUGAUGAACGGAUGCUGUCACCCGUGCUGGCCGAUUGCUGCUGCCCGGAAUGAUGGUCGCUGAGAGCUGCCGUCUCUAGGCCAAUCCUGCAAUAUGC